Molecule: ribosomal RNA, 531 nt
Filed under: uncultured eukaryote
Lineage: Eukaryota
Description: bacterial SSU rRNA
Rfam family: Eukaryotic small subunit ribosomal RNA
Source: RNAcentral
UUAAGCCAUGCAAGUGUAAGUAUAAAUAGACAAAUUAUUGUACUAUGAGACUGCGAAUGGCUCAUUAAAUCAGCAAUCAUUUAUUCGGUGGAUGAAGUAAUUCUAAAAUGGAUAACCGUGGGAAAUCUAGAGCUAAUACAUGCAAAAGAGAAUUCUUUGAAAAAGGAAUGCAUAUAUUAGAUACAAAUCCAAAAAUACAAAGGUGAAUCAUAAUAUUUAUAGCAAAUUAUACAGAGGAAGUAAUUCUUCUUGAUAAUAAACCGAUCAAAUUUCUGCCCUAUCAUACUUUUGGACGGUAAUGUAGUGGAUUACGGUGGUGAUGACGGGUAACGGAGAAUUAGGGUUUGAUUCCGGAGAGGGAGCAUGAGAAAUGGCUACCACUUCCAAGGAAGGCAGCAGGCGCGUAAAUUACCCAAUCUAAAACAGGGAGGUAGUGACGAUAAAUAACAAUGAUUCAAUAGAUAACAAAGUUAGAAUUAAAUUGGAAUGAGAACAAUAUAAAAUCCCUUAUCGAGUAACAAUUUACAGGGC